AGCAGCGUCAACAAAAACAAUCUGGAGGCGGCAAAAAGGAAAGAAAAGAUCAGCGGUCAUAAAUGGCUGGACCAGUGGAUGCUCAACAUGAGAAGACAGAACCGGACAUCUAACAAGACUUCUCGUCUGUGGGGCGAACACAGAGAGUCAUCACUUCAUACGGUACCUUAUAAAGUUG
Molecule: long non-coding RNA, 178 nt
Organism: Scomber scombrus (Atlantic mackerel)
Lineage: Eukaryota; Metazoa; Chordata; Actinopteri; Scombriformes; Scombridae
Exons: 2
Source: RefSeq, a predicted model, not a curated record